Molecule: ribosomal RNA, 460 nt
Filed under: uncultured bacterium
Lineage: Bacteria
Description: partial 16S ribosomal RNA
Rfam family: Bacterial small subunit ribosomal RNA
Source: RNAcentral
CCUACGGGUGGCAGCAGUGAGGAAUAUUGGUCAAUGGGCGCUAGCCUGAACCAGCCAAGUAGCGUGAAGGAUGACUGCCCUAUGGGUUGUAAACUUCUUUUAUAUGGGAAUAAAGUGCAGUAUGUAUACUGCUUUGCAUGUACCUUAUGAAUAAGGAUCGGCUAACUCCGUGCCAGCAGCCGCGGUAAUACGUAGGAGGCGAGCGUUAUCCGGAAUGACUGGGCGUAAAGGGUGCGUAGGUGGUUUGGCAAGUUAGUAGCGUAACUCCAAGGCUCAACCUUGGAACUACUACUAAAACUGUUGGACUUGAGUGCAGGAGGGGCAACCGGAAUUCCUAGUGUAGCGGUGGAAUGCGUAGAUAUUAGGAGGAACACCAGUGGCGAAGGCGGGUUGCUAGACUGUAACUGACACUGAGGCACGAAAGCGUGGGGAGCAAACAGGAUUAGAUACCCGUGUAGUC